Non-coding RNA from Labrus bergylta (ballan wrasse), 501 nucleotides. Lineage: Eukaryota; Metazoa; Chordata; Actinopteri; Labriformes; Labridae. The record is from RefSeq and is a predicted model, not a curated record.
AGUGUGAAUACAUUAGGUCUGUGAGAGAUCGUGCUACCUGGCAGGGGUUAGAGCUGGGCAGAGGACUGCAGAGGAGCAGGCUGCACCAUGCGACACUACCGGACCCUGCAGUAAUGACCCUGCCAGCCUGACACAACGCUCCCACCUGGGGGACCACUGCAGCUUUCCAAUGACAGAUGGAGGGCUGCUGAGACAGGGGAGCUGGGCUGGAUCACUGCAGGCUAACAGAGCGACCAUUAGACCAGACAGUGCGCCAGCAAGCCAACAUGGCUUUGUGUUGGCUCCGCCUUUUGCCUGGAAUGUAUACCUACCUGAAUCCUGGACCUUCCUAUUUGUCUGUAUCCUGUCACUAGUCCCCCUGCUACCUACCAUCACUUGCCUAGAGACAGAACAGUGGAUAGAGUCGGAAAUCAGGGCGAGAGAGUGGGGAAUGACGUGCGGGUAAGGAGUCAGGGGUCGGAUCCGAACCCGGGCACCCAGGAUCCGAACACAACUCUUUAU